CUACGGGGCGCUGCAGUCGAGAAUCUUUGGCAAUGGACGAAAGUCUGACCAAGCGACGCCGCGUGCGGGAUGAAGGCCUUCGGGUUGUAAACCGCUGUCAGUUGGGAGGAAAUCACAUGGGGUCCUCUCCAUGUGUUGACCUAUCUUCAGAGGAAGGACGGGCUAAGUUCGUGCCAGCAGCCGCGGUAAGACGAACCGUCCAAACGUUAUUCGGAAUCACUGGGCUUAAAGGGUGCGUAGGCGGCCCUGUAAGUUGGGUGUGAAAUCCCUCGGCUCAACCGAGGAAUUGCGCCCAAUACUGCAGGGCUAGAGGGAGACAGAGGUGAGCGGAACUUGUGGUGGAGCGGUGAAAUGCGUUGAUAUCACAAGGAACACCUGUGGCGAAAGCGGCUCACUGGGUCUCUUCUGACGCUGAGGCACGAAAGCUGGGGGAGCGAACGGGAUUAGAUACCCUUGUAGUC
RNAcentral lists this ribosomal RNA (461 nucleotides) under uncultured bacterium. RNAcentral's name for it is "partial 16S ribosomal RNA". It matches the Rfam family "Bacterial small subunit ribosomal RNA", at positions 339 to 795 of the family's 1533-position model. The record is from RNAcentral.